GACGAACGCUGGCGGCGUGCUUAACACAUGCAAGUCGAACGGAAAGGCCCCCACCUUGGUGGGGGUGCUCGAGUGGCGAACGGGUGAGUAACACGUGUGUGAUCUGCCCUGUACUUCGGGAUAAGCUUGGGAAACUGGGUCUAAUACCGGAUAGGACCAUGGUUUAGUGUCUCAUGGUGGAAAAAUUAUUGUUUUGGUGCAGGAUGAGCUCGCGGCCUAUCAGCUUGUUGGUGGGGUAAUGGCCUACCAAGGCGUCGACGGGUAGCCGGCCUGAGAGGGUGGACGGCCACAUUGGGACUGAGAUACGGCGCAGACUCCUACGGGCGGCAGCAGUGGGGAAUAUUGCACAAUGGGAGCAAGCCUGAUGCAGCGACGCCGCGUGGCGGAUGACGGCCUUCGGGUUGUAAACUCCUUUCGUUAGGGACGAAGCCACACCUUUUUUGGGUGUGGUGACGGUACCUUUGUUAAGAAGCACCGGCUAACUACGUG
This 489-nucleotide ribosomal RNA is filed under the name uncultured bacterium. Its description in RNAcentral is "partial 16S ribosomal RNA". It matches the Rfam family "Bacterial small subunit ribosomal RNA", at positions 28 to 507 of the family's 1533-position model. The record is from RNAcentral.